GACGAACGCUGGCGGCGUGCUUAACACAUGCAAGUCGAACGGAAAGGCCCUGCUUGCAGGGUACUCGAGUGGCGAACGGGUGAGUAACACGUGGGUGAUCUGCCCUGCACUUCGGGAUAAGCCUGGGAAACUGGGUCUAAUACCGGAUAGGAGCCAUUUUUAGUGUGAUGGUUGGAAAGUUUUUUCGGUGUAGGAUGAGCUCGCGGCCUAUCAGCUUGUUGGUGGGGUAAUGGCCUACCAAGGCGGCGACGGGUAGCCGGCCUGAGAGGGUGGACGGCCACAUUGGGACUGAGAUACGGCCCAGACUCUUACGGGAGGCAGCAGUGGGGAAUAUUGCACAAUGGGCGCAAGCCUGAUGCAGCGACGCCGCGUGGGGGAUGACGGCCUUCGGGUUGUAAACUCCUUUCGCUAGGGACGAAGCUUUUUGUGACGGUACCUAGAUAAGAAGCACCGGCUAACUACGUG
RNAcentral lists this ribosomal RNA (465 nucleotides) under uncultured bacterium. RNAcentral describes it as "partial 16S ribosomal RNA". It matches the Rfam family "Bacterial small subunit ribosomal RNA", at positions 28 to 507 of the family's 1533-position model. The record is from RNAcentral.